Molecule: ribosomal RNA, 274 nt
Filed under: uncultured bacterium
Lineage: Bacteria
Description: partial 16S ribosomal RNA
Rfam family: Bacterial small subunit ribosomal RNA
Source: RNAcentral
AUACGGAGGGUGCAAGCGUUAUCCGGAUUUAUUGGGUUUAAAGGGUGCGUAGGCGGAUCGGUCAGUCAGUGGUGAAAUCCCAUAGCUUAACUAUGGAACUGCCAUUGAUACUGCCAAUCUCGAGUAUAGUCGAAGUGGAUGGAAUGUAACAUGUAGCGGUGAAAUGCAUAGAUAUGUUACAGAACACCGAUUGCGAAGGCAGUUCACUAAACUAUUACUGACGCUGAGGCACGAAAGCGUGGGGAGCGAACAGGAUUAGAAACCCUAGUAGUCC